This 465-nucleotide ribosomal RNA is filed under the name uncultured bacterium. RNAcentral's name for it is "partial 16S ribosomal RNA". It matches the Rfam family "Bacterial small subunit ribosomal RNA", at positions 338 to 795 of the family's 1533-position model. The record is from RNAcentral.
CCUACGGGGGGCAGCAGUGGGGAAUAUUGCGCAAUGGGCGAAAGCCUGACGCAGCGACGCCGCGUGAGGGAUGAAGGUCUUCGGAUCGUAAACCUCUGUCAGCAGGGAAGAACGGUCACUGUGCUAAUCAGCAGUGAAUUGACGGUACCUGCAAAGGAAGCACCGGCUAACUCCGUGCCAGCAGCCGCGGUAAUACGGAGGGUGCGAGCGUUAAUCGGAAGGACUGGGCGUAAAGGGUGCGUAGGUGGUUGGACAAGUUGGUAGCGUAACUCCGAGGCUUAACCUCGGCACUACUACCAAAACUGUUGGACUGGAGUGCAGGAGGGGCAAAUGGAAUUCCUAGUGUAGCGGUGGAAUGCGUAGAUAUUAGGAGGAACACCAGUGGCGAAGGCGAUUUGCUGGACUGUAACUGACACUGAGGCACGAAAGCGUGGGGAGCAAACAGGAUUAGAUACCCCUGUAGUC